Long non-coding RNA from Hippoglossus stenolepis (Pacific halibut), 1667 nucleotides. RefSeq lists it as uncharacterized. The transcript is spliced from 3 exons. The record is from RefSeq and is a predicted model, not a curated record. Lineage: Eukaryota; Metazoa; Chordata; Actinopteri; Pleuronectiformes; Pleuronectidae.
CAAGGGCUGCUCACUUGUCUAUUGCGCUAGGUGUGCGUCCUAAUAUGGGGUGGGCUAUGUGAGGGGGCCAACAGCCGGGGGAAGCAGGGACAACACAAGGGUUAAUAACCACACUUUAACACAGCUUCUACACCAAAGUGUCUGACCUGCACACUGGACUUUAUAAAGGCCCGGCGGCUGCGAUGGCGAACCCGCUGGCGGCCUUCACCCUGAUCAAACGGCUGCAUUCAGAGUGGCUGAAUGUCAUCUGCACUGCAGCUGACAAAGUGCUGAAAGAUCAUCGCCACAGUACUGCGGUUGUGUAGUCGAGCCUCAGUGGAGGUUGGAGGUGUUUCUGGGUCUGAUAAAUGAGCUACAGUGGAAGGUUUACCAGACCAUUCCUGGGGUUUAACCCUUCACCUUUAAUUUCACUGACACCUCACUUCCUGGCUGUUUAUACAGAAAAUAACGGAAGCUCGUAAACUGAUAAAAUGACUAAUAAAAUAGUUCAUGCAUGAAAUUCAACUCUGUCUGAGAUAAGUAGAAUGAUUCAUGGCAGAAACUACACUUGUAGCUCCAAGAACAUCCUCAUUUACUGUUCUCUAGCUGUAAUUUGAUUUAAUUUCAUUCAAUCUUUUAAAACAACAUUGCUCAGCCAAUCUGCCAUCUGUAAAUGUAUUCAUCAUUGGAUAAUUGAUUGAGAGCUGCCAUCUUCUGGUGGAACCUCCACAGAAAUGGUGAGGGAGACGUCGACACCCUGCACGCCGGCUGCCCCGUGCUCAGUCAAGAACAACUGCUGUAUAUCACUAAAGAAUAUAUAAUCAUAAACAUUUCAUGAAAGUCUUAUUUUUAUACCAUCAGGACUGCGUCAGUGAGACCCAGCAACUCUGGAUCCUGCAGUAAUGGACUCACUGAGAGAGAGACUCAGCUUCACUGACUGUAGUGACAUCUACAGCUCACAAAGCGUCGCCUGCAUUGACGUCAGCACUGUGAGCUGAAGUAAGAAGCACUGCUGCCAAAAACACUUUGCUCAACAGUUCACAAACUGCACUGAACGAGUCUGGUCCAGCUCACGUGGAAGUGUCCUCUCAGCAGAAUCCUCUCAGUGCCAGCGAUCGAUACGAGAGCCGCCCCCGUGACAGCUGGAAACGGCUCAGUUGAGUGACAGCACCACAUCAGCAGGAAAUAAAUAGUUAGAUAGAUUAAUUAAAAAUACUUUAACUUAAACAAAAUUUGUCCACGUUUUUCAAUUCUGUGCUGAAGCUAUCUGUUUAUUUUCAUAAGAAAAUAUGUCCUGUUGCACAAUGUGUUCAUGCACCUGUCGUACAUGUGAGGUCGACGAUGUUCAUGAUUUUCACCACACAGGGCAAACAGGAUGGAGAAAUAAUGCAGCUGGUCAAACAGGUUCUCUUAAUAUCCUGGUUUAAUUCUGAUCCUCUACAUACUGGUUUACAUACAACUUUGCUGCAGCUGGACAACAGAACCACACUGCUGCAGUGACAGAUGGCACUCGGUCAUAUUAAAGGUUCAGUGUGUAAGAUUUAUGUGAAAGGGAUCUAUUGGCAGAAAGUGAAUAUAAAAAAUAAUCCAAGUGAUGUUUUCACUAGUGUUUCAUCUAAAUUGUAUGAAUUGUUGUUUUCUUUACUUUAGAAUGAGCCGUUUAUAUUGAAACAGUUUAUAUUUAAAUA